This 492-nucleotide ribosomal RNA is filed under the name uncultured bacterium. RNAcentral describes it as "bacterial SSU rRNA". It matches the Rfam family "Bacterial small subunit ribosomal RNA", at positions 43 to 524 of the family's 1533-position model. The record is from RNAcentral.
CAGGCCUAACACAUGCAAGUCGGACGGUAGCACAGAGGAGCUUGCUCCUUGGGUGACGAGUGGCGGACGGGUGAGUAAUGUCUGGGGAUCUGCCCGAUAGAGGGGGAUAACCACUGGAAACGGUGGCUAAUACCGCAUAACGUCGCAAGACCAAAGAGGGGGACCUUCGGGCCUCUCACUAUCGGAUGAACCCAGAUGGGAUUAGCUAGUAGGCGGGGUAAUGGCCCACCUAGGCGACGAUCCCUAGCUGGUCUGAGAGGAUGACCAGCCACACUGGAACUGAGACACGGUCCAGACUCCUACGGGAGGCAGCAGUGGGGAAUAUUGCACAAUGGGCGCAAGCCUGAUGCAGCCAUGCCGCGUGUAUGAAGAAGGCCUUCGGGUUGUAAAGUACUUUCAGCGGGGAGGAAGGCGGUGCGGUUAAUAACCGCGCCGAUUGACGUUACCCGCAGAAGAAGCACCGGCUAACUCCGUGCCAGCAGCCGCGGUAAU